CGUAGGGGGCAAGCGUUGUCCGGAUUUACUGGGCGUAAAGAGCGCGUAGGCGGUCGUUUAAGUGUGGCCUGAAAGCCCCCGGCUCAACCGGGGAUCCGGGUUGCAAACUGGACGUCUUGAGGGGGAUAGGGGAAGGUGGAAUUCCUGGUGUAGCGGUGAAAUGCGUAGAGAUCAGGAGGAACACCCGUGGCGAAGGCGGCCUUCUGGGUCCGCCCUGACGCUGAGGCGCGAAAGCGUGGGGAGCGAACGGGAUUAGAUACCCCGGUAGUCCACGCCGUAAACGAUGAUUACUAGGUGUGUGUGGUAUCGACCCCACACGUGCCGCAGCUAACGCAAUAAGUAAUCCGCCUGGGGAGUACGGCCGCAAGGUUG
Molecule: ribosomal RNA, 372 nt
Filed under: uncultured organism
Description: bacterial SSU rRNA
Rfam family: Bacterial small subunit ribosomal RNA
Source: RNAcentral